Non-coding RNA from Eucalyptus grandis, 155 nucleotides. The record is from Rfam. NCBI's taxonomy places the organism in Eukaryota, Viridiplantae, Streptophyta, Magnoliopsida, Myrtales, Myrtaceae.
AUCCCAGGCGAGAUUUGAGGGGGGGCUCGUUUUCCCCCGUGCUCGUCUGAUUCAUGGGAGGCCCAGAUCAAAAGGUUUUGCCUCUGGGAGCUUCGCUGAUGACGCCCGUUCCUUGCUCAUCUCGGGCGUUCUAUUAGUAGCUUUCCCAUACAUGU